GACGAACGCUGGCGGCGUGCUUAACACAUGCAAGUCGAACGGAAAGGCCCUGCUAUUGUGGGGUGAUGGGGUGGCGAACGGGUGAGUAAGAGGUGAGUAACCUGAUCUAGACUUUGGGAUAACUUAAGGAAAGGGGGGCUAAGACAGGAUAGGAGAUCCUGCUGGAUGGUGGGGGGUGGAAAGUUUCGGCGGGUGGGGAUGGACUCGCGGAUGAUCAGCUUGUUGGUGGGGUAGUGGCUUACCAAGGCUUUGACGGGUAGCCGGCCUGAGAGGGUGACCGGCCACAUUGGGCCUGAGAUACGGCCCAGACUCCUACGGGAGGCAGCAGUGGGGAAUAUUGCACAAUGGGCGGAAGCCUGAUGCAGCAACGCCGCGUGCGGGAUGACGGCCUUCGGGUUGUAAACCGCUUUCGCCUGUGACGAAGCGUGAGUGACGGUAAUGGGUAAAGAAGCACCGGCUAACUACGUG
RNAcentral lists this ribosomal RNA (468 nucleotides) under uncultured bacterium. RNAcentral describes it as "partial 16S ribosomal RNA". It matches the Rfam family "Bacterial small subunit ribosomal RNA", at positions 28 to 507 of the family's 1533-position model. The record is from RNAcentral.